AGAAGAAGAAGAAGAAGAAGGUGGGAGCCACAAAUCCUUCCCUAAAUAAAAAGAGAAGUGGUGUUACAGGUUAGUUCUUACAAUGAUAAGGGAAAAAGAAAGGCUGCAGAGAUUCUUACUACCGAAUCUACUAUGAAAUGGGUCUGCAACUAUAACCCAUCAAAAUAAGCAUAACUGAAACAAAAUUUGACCUUGUCAUUAGCAUAACUGAAACAAAAUUUGACCUUGUCAUU
Molecule: unclassified non-coding RNA, 233 nt
Filed under: Hevea brasiliensis (rubber tree)
Lineage: Eukaryota; Viridiplantae; Streptophyta; Magnoliopsida; Malpighiales; Euphorbiaceae
Source: RNAcentral